UACAGAGGGUGCAAGCGUUGUUCGGAAUUAUUGGGCGUAAAGCGCGUGUAGGCGGCUUUGCAAGUCGGGUGUGAAAGCCCUCAGCUUAACUGAGGAAGUGCGCCCGAAACUUCAGAGCUUGAGUACCGGAGAGGAUGGUGGAAUUCCCCAAGUAGAGGUGAAAUUCGUAGAUAUGGGGAGGAACACCGGUGGCGAAGGCGACCAUCUGGACGGAUACUGACGCUGAGACGCGAAAGCGUGGGUAGCAAACAGG
This 253-nucleotide ribosomal RNA is filed under the name uncultured bacterium. RNAcentral's name for it is "partial 16S ribosomal RNA". It matches the Rfam family "Bacterial small subunit ribosomal RNA", at positions 524 to 776 of the family's 1533-position model. The record is from RNAcentral.